AUUGAACGCUGGCGGCAGGCCUAACACAUGCAAGUCGAGCGGUAGCACAGAGAGCUUGCUCUCGGGUGACGAGCGGCGGACGGGUGAGUAAUGUCUGGGAAACUGCCUGAUGGAGGGGGAUAACUACUGGAAACGGUAGCUAAUACCGAAUAAUGUCGCAAGACCAAAGUGGGGGACCUUCGGGCCUCAUGCCAUCAGAUGUGCCCAGAUGGGAUUAGCUAGUAGGUGGGGUAACGGCUCACCUAGGCGACGAUCCCUAGCUGGUAUGAGAGGAUGACCAGCCACACUGGAACUGAGACACGGUCCAGACUCCUACGGGAGGCAGCAGUGGGGAAUAUUGCACAAUGGGCGCAAGCCUGAUGCAGCCAUGCCGCGUGUGUGAAGAAGGCCUUCGGGUUGUAAAGCACUUUCAGCGGGGAGGAAGGCGUUAAGGUUAAUAACCUUGUCGAUUGACGUUACCCGCAGAAGAAGCACCGGCUAACUCCGUGCCAGCCGCCGCGGUAA
Molecule: ribosomal RNA, 504 nt
Filed under: uncultured bacterium
Lineage: Bacteria
Description: partial 16S ribosomal RNA
Rfam family: Bacterial small subunit ribosomal RNA
Source: RNAcentral